RNAcentral lists this ribosomal RNA (303 nucleotides) under uncultured bacterium. RNAcentral's name for it is "partial 16S ribosomal RNA". It matches the Rfam family "Bacterial small subunit ribosomal RNA", at positions 507 to 808 of the family's 1533-position model. The record is from RNAcentral.
AGCAGUCGCCGCGGGAAAACAGAGGGUGCAAGCGUUAUACGGAAUGAUUGGGCGUAAAGGGAGUGCAGGCGGUUUAGUAAGUCUGAAGUUAAAGGCAUUGGCUCAACCAAUGUAUGCUUUGGAAGCUGUUAGACUUGAGUGCAGAAGGGGAGAGUGGAAUUCCAUGUGUAGCGGUGAAAUGCGUAGAUAUAUGGAGGAACACCGGUGGCGAAAGCGGCUCUCUGGUCUGUCACUGACGCUGAGGCUCGAAAGCGUGGGUAGCGAACAGGAUUAGAUACCCCGGUAGUCCCUGUCUCUUAUACA